UGCUUAACACAUGCAAGUCGAACGGAGCUUUUCGGAGCUUAGUGGCGGACGGGUGAGUAACGCGUGAGAAUCUGCCUUUUGGACCGGGACAACUGCGGGAAACGGCAGCUAAGACCGGAUGUGCCUUCGGGUGAAAUAUUCAUAGCCAAAAGAGGAGCUCGCGACCGAUUAGCUAGUUGGUGGGGUAAGAGCCUACCAAGGCUGCGAUCGGUAGCCGGUUUGAGAGGACGACCGGCCACACUGGGACUGAGACACGGCCCAGACUCCUACGGGAGGCAGCAGUGGGGAAUUUUCCGCAAUGGGCGAAAGCCUGACGGAGCAAUACCGCGUGAGGGAGGAAGGCUCUUGGGUCGUAAACCUCUUUUCUCAGGGAAGAAGCAAUGACGGUACCUGAGGAAUCAGCAUCGGCUAACUCCGUGCCAGCAGCCGCGGUAAUACGGAGGAUGCAAGCGUUAUCCGGAAUGAUUGGGCGUAAAGCGUCCGCAGGUGGCACAUCAAGUCUGCUGUCAAAGCCCCCAGCUUAACUGGGAAGAGGCGGUGGAAACUGGUGAGCUAGAGAGCAAUAGGGGUAGAGGGAAUUCCCGGUGUAGCGGUGAAAUGCGUAGAGAUCGGGAAGAACACCAGUGGCGAAAGCGCUCUACUAGGUUGCAACUGACACUGAGGGACGAAAGCUAGGGGAGCGAAUGGGAUUAGAUACCCCAGUAGUCCUAGCCGUAAACGAUGGAUACUAGGCGUUUCUCGUAUCGACCCGAG
This 753-nucleotide ribosomal RNA is filed under the name Chroococcidiopsis sp. Batti 6.2. Its description in RNAcentral is "bacterial SSU rRNA". It matches the Rfam family "Bacterial small subunit ribosomal RNA", at positions 45 to 840 of the family's 1533-position model. The record is from RNAcentral. Lineage: Bacteria; Bacillati; Cyanobacteriota; Cyanophyceae; Chroococcidiopsidales; Chroococcidiopsidaceae.